UACGUAGGGGGCAAGCGUUGUCCGGAAUCAUUGGGCGUAAAGAGCGUGUAGGCGGCCAGAUAAGUCCGCUGUGAAAUCUCGAGGCUCAACUUCGAGCUGUCGGUGGAAACUGUCUGGCUAGAGUCCGGAAGAGGAGAAUGGAAUUCCUGGUGUAGCGGUGAAAUGCGCAGAUAUCAGGAAGAACACCAAUGGCGAAGGCAGCUCUCUGGGACGGUACUGACGCUGAGGUGCGAAAGCUAGGGGAGCAAACGGG
Molecule: ribosomal RNA, 253 nt
Filed under: uncultured bacterium
Lineage: Bacteria
Description: partial 16S ribosomal RNA
Rfam family: Bacterial small subunit ribosomal RNA
Source: RNAcentral